AGUGAACGCUGGCGGUAGGCCUAACACAUGCAAGUCGAACGGCAGCACAGGAGAGCUUGCUCUUUGGGUGGCGAGUGGCGGACGGGUGAGGAAUACAUCGGAAUCUACUCUGUCGUGGGGGAUAACGUAGGGAAACUUACGCUAAUACCGCAUACGACCUACGGGUGAAAGCAGGGGAUCUUCGGACCUUGCGCGAGUGAAUGAGCCGAUGUCGGAUUAGCUAGUUGGCGGGGUAAAGGCCCACCAAGGCGACGAGCCGUAGCUGGUCUGAGAGGAUGAUCAGCCACACUGGAACUGAGACACGGUCCAGACUCCUACGGGAGGCAGCAGUGGGGAAUAUUGGACAAUGGGCGCAAGCCUGAUCCAGCCAUACCGCGUGGGUGAAGAAGGCCUUCGGGUUGUAAAGCCCUUUUGUUGGGAAAGAAAUCCAGCUGGCUAAUACCCGGUUGGGAUGACGGUACCCAAAGGAUAAGCACCGGCUAACUUCGUGCCAGCCGCCGCCGUAA
Molecule: ribosomal RNA, 506 nt
Filed under: uncultured bacterium
Lineage: Bacteria
Description: partial 16S ribosomal RNA
Rfam family: Bacterial small subunit ribosomal RNA
Source: RNAcentral